GGACGAGGAGGCGAUCGCCAUCUUCGGCCAGAACCUGGAAGCGCUCCUGCUCUCGCCCCCGGCGGGCGGAAGGAUCGUACUCGGGGUGGAUCCGGGCUUCCGUACCGGGUGCAAGCUCGCCGUCGUGAGCCGCACCGGCGCCGUCCUCGAGACUGGCGUCGU
This 162-nucleotide unclassified non-coding RNA is filed under the name plant metagenome. RNAcentral's name for it is "partial contains 5.8S ribosomal RNA, internal transcribed spacer 2, and large subunit ribosomal RNA". The record is from RNAcentral.